AGAGUUUGAUCAUGGCUCAGGAUGAACGCUAACGGCAGGCUUAACACAUGCAAGUCGAGGGGCAGCGGGGUGUAGCAAUACACUGCCGACGACCGGCGCACGGGUGCGUAACGCGUAUGCAACCUACCCAUAACAGGGGCAUAACACUGAGAAAUUGGUACUAAUUCCCCAUAACAUUCGAAGAGGCAUCUCUUUGGGUUGAAAACUCCGGUGGUUAUGGAUGGGCAUGCGUUGUAUUAGCUAGUUGGG
Molecule: ribosomal RNA, 249 nt
Filed under: uncultured bacterium
Lineage: Bacteria
Description: partial 16S ribosomal RNA
Rfam family: Bacterial small subunit ribosomal RNA
Source: RNAcentral